RNAcentral lists this ribosomal RNA (301 nucleotides) under uncultured bacterium. RNAcentral's name for it is "partial 16S ribosomal RNA". It matches the Rfam family "Bacterial small subunit ribosomal RNA", at positions 509 to 809 of the family's 1533-position model. The record is from RNAcentral.
CAGUAGCCACGGUAAUGCGUAGGGUGCGAGCGUCAAUCGGAAUUACUGGGCGUAAAGCGUGCGCAGGCGGUUGUGUAAGACAGGUGUGAAAUCCCCGGGCUUAACCUGGGAACUGCGCUUGUGACUGCACAGCUAGAGUAUGGCAGAGGGGGGUGGAAUUCCACGUGUAGCAGUGAAAUGCGUAGAGAUGUGGAGGAACACCGAUGGCGAAGGCAGCCCCCUGGGCCAAUACUGACGCUCAUGCACGAAAGCGUGGGGAGCAAACAGGAUUAGAUACCCGCGUAGUCCCUGUCUCUUAUAA